RNAcentral lists this ribosomal RNA (301 nucleotides) under uncultured bacterium. Its description in RNAcentral is "partial 16S ribosomal RNA". It matches the Rfam family "Bacterial small subunit ribosomal RNA", at positions 509 to 807 of the family's 1533-position model. The record is from RNAcentral.
CAGCCGCCGCGGUAAUACGAAGGGUGCAAGCGUUACUCGGAAUUACUGGGCGUAAAGCGUGCGUAGGUGGUGGUUUAAGUCCGUUGUGAAAGCCCUGGGCUCAACCUGGGAAUUGCAGUGGAUACUGGGUCACUAGAGUGUGGUAGAGGAUAGUGGAAUUUCCGGUGUAGCAGUGAAAUGCGUAGAGAUCGGAAGGAACAUCUGUGGCGAAGGCGACUAUCUGGGCCAACACUGACACUGAGGCACGAAAGCGUGGUGAGCAAACAGGAUUAGAUACCCCUGUAGUCCCUGUCUCUUAUAC